Molecule: ribosomal RNA, 425 nt
Filed under: uncultured bacterium
Lineage: Bacteria
Description: partial 16S ribosomal RNA
Rfam family: Bacterial small subunit ribosomal RNA
Source: RNAcentral
GUGGGGAAUAUUGGACAAUGGGCGAAAGCCUGAUCCAGCAAUGCCGCGUGAGUGAUGAAGGCCUUCGGGUUGUAAAGCUCUUUAGCCGAUGAUUAUAAUGACUGUAGUCGGAAAAUAAGCCCCGGCUAACUUCGUGCCAGCAGCCGCGGUAAUACGAAGGGGGCGAGCGUUAUUCGGAAUCACUGGGCGUAAAGCGUGCGUAGGCGGCUUUGCAAGUUGGGAGUGAAAGCCCAGGGCUCAACCCUGGAAUUGCUCUCAAAACUGCAAGGCUCGAAUUCGGGAGAGGAUAGCGGAAUGGUCAGUGUAGCAGUGAAAUGCGUAGAUAUUGACAGGAACACCAGUGGCGUAAGCGGCUAUCUGGACCGAUAUUGACGCUGAGGCACGAAAGCGUGGGGAUCAAACAGGAUUAGAAACCCGGGUAGUCC